This 527-nucleotide ribosomal RNA is filed under the name uncultured bacterium. RNAcentral's name for it is "bacterial SSU rRNA". It matches the Rfam family "Bacterial small subunit ribosomal RNA", at positions 983 to 1509 of the family's 1533-position model. The record is from RNAcentral.
ACCAUCCAGAGAAUUUAGCAGAGAUGCUUUAGUGCCUUCGGGAACUCUGAGACAGGUGCUGCAUGGCUGUCGUCAGCUCGUGUUGUGAAAUGUUGGGUUAAGUCCCGNAACGAGCGCAACCCUUAUCCUUUGUUGCCAGCACGUAAUGGUGGGAACUCAAAGGAGACUGCCGGUGAUAAACCGGAGGAAGGUGGGGAUGACGUCAAGUCAUCAUGGCCCUUACGAGUAGGGCUACACACGUGCUACAAUGGCGCAUACAAAGAGAAGCGACCUCGCGAGAGCAAGCGGACCUCAUAAAGUGCGUCGUAGUCCGGAUUGGAGUCUGCAACUCGACUCCAUGAAGUCGGAAUCGCUAGUAAUCGUAAAUCAGAAUGUUACGGUGAAUACGUUCCCGGGCCUUGUACACACCGCCCGUCACACCAUGGGAGUGGGUUGCAAAAGAAGUAGAUAGCUUAACCUUCGGGAGGGCGUUUACCACUUUGUGAUUCAUGACUGGGGUGAAGUCGUAACAAGGUAAGCGUAGUGCU